GAAAUGCGAUAAGUAAUGUGAAUUGCAGAAUUCAGUGAAUCAUCGAAUCUUUGAACGCAGCUUGCGCUCCUUGGUAUUCCUUGGAGCAUGCCUGUUUGAGUAUCAUGAAAUCUUCAAAGUAAAUCUUUUGUUAACUCAAUUGGUUUCUACUUUGGUAUUGGAGGUCUUUGCAGCUUCACACCUGCUCCUCUUUGUUCAUUAGCUGGAUCUCAGUGUUAUGCUUGGUUCCACUCGGCGUGAUAAGUUAUCUAUCGCUGAGGACACUGUAAAAGGUGGCCAAGGUAAAUGCAGAUGAACCGCUUCUAAUAGUCCAUUGACUUGUACAAUACUUUUAUGAUCUGAUCUCAAAUCAGGUAGGACUACCCGCUGAACUUAAGC
RNAcentral lists this unclassified non-coding RNA (378 nucleotides) under plant metagenome. RNAcentral describes it as "partial contains 5.8S ribosomal RNA, internal transcribed spacer 2, and large subunit ribosomal RNA". The stretch from base 1 to 105 matches the Rfam family "5.8S ribosomal RNA", at positions 50 to 154 of the family's 154-position model. The record is from RNAcentral.